Molecule: ribosomal RNA, 1885 nt
Filed under: Cedecea colo
Lineage: Bacteria; Pseudomonadati; Pseudomonadota; Gammaproteobacteria; Enterobacterales; Enterobacteriaceae
Description: partial 23S ribosomal RNA
Source: RNAcentral
AGCGUACACGGUGGAUGCCCUGGCAGUCAGAGGCGAUGAAGGACGUGCUAAUCUGCGAUAAGCGCCGGUAAGGUGAUAUGAACCGUUAUAACCGGCGAUUUCCGAAUGGGGAAACCCAGUGCAAUCCGUUGCACUAUCGUUAAGCCAAUACAUAACUUAACGAAGCGAACCGGGGGAACUGAAACAUCUAAGUACCCCGAGGAAAAGAAAUCAACCGAGAUUCCCCCAGUAGCGGCGAGCGAACGGGGAACAGCCCAGAACCAGCAUCAGUUUGUGUGUCAGUGGAAGCGUCUGGAAAGUCGCAGGGUACAGGGUGAUACUCCCGUACACAAAGGCACACCUUCUGUGAGUUCGACGAGUAGGGCGGGACACGUGGUAUCCUGUCUGAAUAUGGGGGGACCAUCCUCCAAGGCUAAAUACUCCUGACUGACCGAUAGUGAACCAGUACCGUGAGGGAAAGGCGAAAAGAACCCCGGCGAGGGGAGUGAAACAGAACCUGAAACCGUGUACGUACAAGCAGUGGGAGCCUCUUUAUGGGGUGACUGCGUACCUUUUGUAUAAUGGGUCAGCGACUUAUAUUCUGUAGCAAGGUUAACCGUAUAGGGGAGCCGCAGGGAAACCGAGUCUUAACUGGGCGUUAAGUUGCAGGGUAUAGACCCGAAACCCGGUGAUCUAGCCAUGGGCAGGUUGAAGGUUGGGUAACACUAACUGGAGGACCGAACCGACUAAUGUUGAAAAAUUAGCGGAUGACCUGUGGCUGGGGGUGAAAGGCCAAUCAAACCGGGAGAUAGCUGGUUCUCCCCGAAAGCUAUUUAGGUAGCGCCUCGUGAAYUCAUCUCCGGGGGUAGAGCACUGUUUCGGCUAGGGGGCCAUCCCGGCUUACCAACCCGAUGCAAACUGCGAAUACCGGAGAAUGUUAUCACGGGAGACACACGGCGGGUGCUAACGUCCGUCGUGAAGAGGGAAACAACCCAGACCGCCAGCUAAGGUCCCAAAGUCAUGGUUAAGUGGGAAACGAUGUGGGAAGGCACAGACAGCCAGGAUGUUGGCUUAGAAGCAGCCAUCAUUUAAAGAAAGCGUAAUAGCUCACUGGUCGAGUCGGCCUGCGCGGAAGAUGUAACGGGGCUAAACCAUGCACCGAAGCUGCGGCAGCGAACGUAUCACUUAAAACGCUUAACGUGACGGCAGAGCCGGCACGUUCARGSCACACAAACGUUGAGUUGGCCUGYGUGCUGACAGACGAGGCGUUUUAAGGAUACGUUCGUUGGGUAGGGGAGCGUUCUGUAAGCCGUCGAAGGUGGACUGUGAGGUCUGCUGGAGGUAUCAGAAGUGCGAAUGCUGACAUAAGUAACGAUAAAGCGGGUGAAAAGCCCGCUCGCCGGAAGACCAAGGGUUCCUGUCCAACGUUAAUCGGGGCAGGGUGAGUCGACCCCUAAGGCGAGGCCGAAAGGCGUAGUCGAUGGGAAACAGGUUAAUAUUCCUGUACCGGGUGUUACUGCGAAGGGGGGACGGAGAAGGCUAUGUCGGCCGGGCGACGGUUGUCCCGGUUUAAGCGUGAAGGUGGGURCUCCAGGCAAAUCCGGAGUACCGUUAACACUGAGGCGUGAUGACGAGGCACYACGGUGCUGAAGUGACAAAUGCCCUGCUUCCAGGAAAAGCCUCUAAGCAUCAGGUAACACCGGAUCGUACCCCAAACCGACACAGGUGGUCAGGUAGAGAAUACCAAGGCGCUUGAGAGAACUCGGGUGAAGGAACUAGGCAAAAUGGUGCCGUAACUUCGGGAGAAGGCACGCUGGCGCGUAGGUGAAGCGGUUAACCCGUGGAGCUGAAGCCAGUCGAAGAUACCAGCUGGCUGCAACUGUUUAUUAAAAACACAGCACUGUGC